GACGAACGCUGGCGGCGUGCUUAACACAUGCAAGUCGAACGGAGUGGCGAACGGGUGAGUAACACGUGGGUGACCUGCCCAUCAGAGGGGGAUAACACUUGGAAACAGGUGCUAAUACCGCAUAUUGAUGGAUGGACCCGCGGUGCAUAAGCUAGUUGGUGAGGUAACGGCUCACCAAGGCCACGAUGCAUAGCCGGCCUGAGAGGGUGGACGGCGACAUUGGGACUGAGACACGGGCCAGACUCCAACGGGAGGCAGCAGUGGGGAAUAUUGCACAAUGAGCGGAAGCCUGAUGAAGCGACGCCGCGUGGGGGAUGACGGCCUUCGGGAUGUAAACUCCUUUCGCCAUCGACGCGGUAGAUGGAGAAGAAGCACCGGCUAACUACGUGCCAGCAGCCGCGGUAAUUC
Molecule: ribosomal RNA, 408 nt
Filed under: uncultured bacterium
Lineage: Bacteria
Description: partial 16S ribosomal RNA
Rfam family: Bacterial small subunit ribosomal RNA
Source: RNAcentral